Non-coding RNA from Lyophyllum atratum, 101 nucleotides. The record is from the annotation of a GenBank genome assembly. NCBI's taxonomy places the organism in Eukaryota, Fungi, Basidiomycota, Agaricomycetes, Agaricales, Lyophyllaceae.
GCAUUAAUGGGGUAGUGGUAACCUGGGUCGUUGCCAUACUCAGGGUAUGUUAGCUUGUCGAGCAUAUCGACCCGCCGGGAGUUCGAUUCUCUCUUAAUGCA